ACUCCUACGGGAGGCAGCAGUGGGGAAUUUUGGACAAUGGGCGCAAGCCUGAUCCAGCAAUGCCGCGUGAGUGAAGAAGGCCUUCGGGUUGUAAAGCUCUUUUGUCAGGGAAGAAACGGUGGGGGCUAAUAUCCCUUGCUAAUGACGGUACCUGAAGAAUAAGCACCGGCUAACUACGUGCCAGCAGCCGCGGUAAUACGUAGGGUGCAAGCGUUAAUCGGAAUUACUGGGCGUAAAGCGUGCGCAGGCGGUUUUGUAAGUCUGUCGUGAAAUCCUCGGGCUCAACCUGAGAAUUGCGAUGGAGACUGCAAGGCUAGAAUCUGGCAGAGGGGGGUAGAAUUCCACGUGUAGCAGUGAAAUGCGUAGAGAUGUGGAGGAACACCGAUGGCGAAGGCAGCCCCCUGGGUCAAGAUUGACGCUCAUGCACGAAAGCGUGGGGAGCAAACAGGAUUAGAUGCCCUGGUAGUCCACGCCCUAAACGAUGUCUACUAGUUGUCGGGUUUUAAUUAACUUGGUAACGCAGCUAACGCGUGAAGUAGACCGCCUGGGGAGUACGGUCGCAAGAUUAAAACUCAAAGGAAUUGACGGGGACCCGCACAAGCGGUGGAUGAUGUGGAUUAAUUCGAUGCAACGCGAAAAACCUUACCUACCCUUGACAUGUACGGAAGCCACGAGAGAUCGAGGUGUGCUCGAAAGAGAGCCGUAACACAGGUGCUGCAUGGCUGUCGUCAGCUCGUGUCGUGAGAUGUUGGGUUAAGUCCCGCAACGAGCGCAACCCUUGUCAUUAGUUGCUACGAAAGAGCACUCUAAUGAGACUGCCGGUGACAAACCGGAGGAAGGUGGGGAUGACGUCAAGUCCUCAUGGCCCUUAUGGGUAGGGCUUCACACGUCAUACAAUGGUACAUACAGAGGGCCGCCAACCCGCGAGGGGGAGCUAAUCCUAGAAAGUGUAUUGUAGUCCGGAUUGUAGUCUGCAACUCGACUACAUGAAGUUGGAAUCGCUAGUAA
RNAcentral lists this ribosomal RNA (1008 nucleotides) under uncultured bacterium. RNAcentral describes it as "bacterial SSU rRNA". It matches the Rfam family "Bacterial small subunit ribosomal RNA", at positions 335 to 1341 of the family's 1533-position model. The record is from RNAcentral.